CGUCGGUAAGCUCAAGUGGUAGAGCGGCAGUCUGAAACGCUGCGCGUAGAGGGUUCGACUCCCUCACCGACGA
Molecule: transfer RNA, 73 nt
Filed under: Labilithrix sp.
Lineage: Bacteria; Pseudomonadati; Myxococcota; Polyangiales; Labilitrichaceae
Description: tRNA-Phe
Rfam family: tRNA
About the family: Transfer RNA (tRNA) molecules are approximately 80 nucleotides in length. Their secondary structure includes four short double-helical elements and three loops (D, anti-codon, and T loops). Further hydrogen bonds mediate the characteristic L-shaped molecular structure. tRNAs have two regions of fundamental functional importance: the anti-codon, which is responsible for specific mRNA codon recognition, and the 3' end, to which the tRNAs corresponding amino acid is attached (by aminoacyl-tRNA synthetases). tRNAs cope with the degeneracy of the genetic code in two manners: having more than one tRNA (with a specific anti-codon) for a particular amino acid; and 'wobble' base-pairing, i.e. permitting non-standard base-pairing at the 3rd anti-codon position.
Source: RNAcentral